AUGCCUAUCAGCCUUGGGAGAGCAAGACUAGUGCACUUUCAGUUCAUUUUAGAUUGAAUCAGAGCUCGCCUAGCUCGAUGGAAAGGCCGGCUAAUGUCUUUUGCGGGAAGAAGAGUGUUGGUCCGGUGUGUGCUCUCUGCAAUUCCAACCUUCGCCCUGUUAGUGUUGCGACCACCCAAGAAAUUGCUCAAAGAAAUUGACAAAGUGCGUCAAUGAUUCCUAUGGGCGCAAGAGGAAGACCUUACUGCUGGCCACUGCAAGGCCGCAUGGAGAAUAUUUGUACGCCAACUAAAAAUGGCGGCCUGGGAAUACAUGAUCUUCAGAAAUUCUCCAGGGCUUUGCGCCAGAGAUGGAUGUGGCUCACUUGGAAAAAUGAAGAACGGCCAUGGAAGGGGUCCGAGCUGCUGUGUGAUAGCAUGGGCAGAGCUUCCUUCGACAGUGCAACCACGUCAUCCUUUGAAACGGCAAACUGGCCUCCUUUUGGCAAUCACCAUGGUUCACCUCACCAUGCCUUGCAGCGCUGUUCCCAGACUAGUUCAAGCGAUAGAGGGGGAAAAAGAGAUGUGUGGCUGA
Molecule: ribosomal RNA, 573 nt
Filed under: Triticum aestivum (bread wheat)
Lineage: Eukaryota; Viridiplantae; Streptophyta; Magnoliopsida; Poales; Poaceae
Description: partial small subunit ribosomal RNA
Source: RNAcentral